AGUGAACGCUGGCGGUAGGCCUAACACAUGCCAGUCGAACGGCAGCACAGUAAGAGCUUGCUCUUACGGGUGGCGAGUGGCGGACGGGUGAGGAAUACAUCGGAAUCUACUUUUUCGUGGGGGAUAACGUAGGGAAACUUACGCUAAUACCGCAUACGACCUACGGGUGAAAGCAGGGGAUCUUCGGACCUUGCGCGAUUGAAUGAGCCGAUGUCGGAUUAGCUAGUUGGCGGGGUAAAGGCCCACCAAGGCGACGAUCCGUAGCUGGUCUGAGAGGAUGAUCAGCCACAAUGGAACUGAGACACGGUCCAGACUCCUACGGGAGGCAGCAGUGGGGAAUAUUGGACAAUGGGCGCAAGCCUGAUCCAGCCAUACCGCGUGGGUGAAGAAGGCCUUCGGGUUGUAAAGCCCUUUUGUUGGGAAAGAAAAGCAGCAGGUUAAUACCCCGCUGUUCUGACGGUACCCAAAGAAUAAGCACCGGCUAACUUCGUG
This 492-nucleotide ribosomal RNA is filed under the name uncultured bacterium. RNAcentral's name for it is "partial 16S ribosomal RNA". It matches the Rfam family "Bacterial small subunit ribosomal RNA", at positions 29 to 507 of the family's 1533-position model. The record is from RNAcentral.